CCUACGGGGGGCAGCAGUGAGGAAUAUUGGUCAAUGGGCGGGAGCCUGAACCAGCCAAGCCGCGUGAGGGAAGAAGGUACAGCGUAUCGUAAACCUCUUUUGUCAGGGAACAAAGGCGGGGACUAGUCCCCGGAUGAGGGUACCUGAAGAAAAAGCAUCGGCUAACUCCGUGCCAGCAGCCGCGGUAAUACGGAGGAUGCGAGCGUUAUCAGGAUUUAUUGGGUUUAAAGGGUGCGCAGGCGGCCUGUUAAGUCAGCGGUAAAAGCCCGGGGCUCAACCCCGGCGAGCCGUUGAAACUGGCGGGCUGGAGUUGGAGAGAAGUACGCGGAAUGCGCGGUGUAGCGGUGAAAUGCUUAGAUAUCGCGCAGAACCCCGAUUGCGAAGGCAGCGUACCGGCUACACACUGACGCUGAGGCACGAAAGCGAGGGUAGCGAACAGGAUUAGAUACCCGGGUAGUC
RNAcentral lists this ribosomal RNA (459 nucleotides) under uncultured bacterium. Its description in RNAcentral is "partial 16S ribosomal RNA". It matches the Rfam family "Bacterial small subunit ribosomal RNA", at positions 338 to 795 of the family's 1533-position model. The record is from RNAcentral.